RNAcentral lists this ribosomal RNA (484 nucleotides) under uncultured bacterium. RNAcentral's name for it is "partial 16S ribosomal RNA". It matches the Rfam family "Bacterial small subunit ribosomal RNA", at positions 30 to 507 of the family's 1533-position model. The record is from RNAcentral.
AUUGAACGCUGGCGGCAUGCUUUACACAUGCAAGUCGAACGGUAACAGGGAGCUUGCUCCGCUGACGAGUGGCGAACGGGUGAGUAAUAUAUCGGAACGUACCCAAGAGUGGGGGAUAACGUAGCGAAAGUUACGCUAAUACCACAUACGAUCUAUGGAUGAAAGCAGGGGACCUUCGGGCCUUGUGCUCCUGGAGCGGCCGAUAUCUGAUUAGCUAGUUGGUGAGGUAAAGGCUCACCAAGGCGACGAUCAGUAGCUGGUCUGAGAGGACGACCAGCCACACUGGAACUGAGACACGGUCCAGACUCCUACGGGAGGCAGCAGUGGGGAAUUUUGGACAAUGGGCGCAAGCCUGAUCCAGCAAUGCCGCGUGAGUGAAGAAGGCCUUCGGGUUGUAAAGCUCUUUUGUCAGGGAAGAAACGGCUGUGGCUAAUAUCCACGGCUAAUGACGGUACCUGAAGAAUAAGCACCGGCUAACUACGUG